Molecule: ribosomal RNA, 483 nt
Filed under: Triticum aestivum (bread wheat)
Lineage: Eukaryota; Viridiplantae; Streptophyta; Magnoliopsida; Poales; Poaceae
Description: partial small subunit ribosomal RNA
Source: RNAcentral
AUGCCACCGCACAAUUCUUUUCGCGAAUACGCAAAACUUACGUAUCAUUGCAUUGAUAGAAGGAGCAGAAAUAGUACAGAUGACGGUACAACACAUGACACGAACACACAUAGGCGUGAACAUGGUGCCCGGAGUAAAGAGACAAGGGAUGCUCGGCCCGAACAGAGGAUACAUACGACACAGCUAAACCAACCAAGCCCCAACCAAAAGCGGCAAUCCCGAACCAACAAGAUCACCAACAUCAUCGGAGACAAGACCCGGGACACCGCAAGCGAGCAAGAUGACACCUUCAAGAAGGAAGACGACGCCGAGACGCCGUCGCCAUCCGGUCCGGAAGAACUAGACCUAGGGUUUCCCCUAAGCUCGAAGAGGGGCACAACCGAGGGCCUUGACAACGCCUCCCAGGAGGAAACGACAUCCGCAGACGCCGCCGCUGCCAGCAUCGGUAAACCAGGCAGGGUUUUCUCCCUGGCCUACGGCUGA